UUGCACGCUGGCGGCGUGCUUUACCCAUGCCAGUCGGACGGCAGCACAGAGAAGCUUGCUUCUUGGGUGGCGAGUGGCGAACGGGUGAGUAAUAUAUCGGAACGUACCGAGUAAUGGGGGAUAACUAAUCGAAAGAUUAGCUAAUACCGCAUAUUCUCUGAGGAGGAAAGCAGGGGACCUUCGGGCCUUGCGUUAUUCGAGCGGCCGAUAUCUGAUUAGCUAGUUGGUGGGGUAAAGGCCUACCAAGGCGACGAUCAGUAGCGGGUCUGAGAGGAUGAUCCGCCACACUGGGACUGAGACACGGCCCAGACUCCUACGGGAGGCAGCAGUGGGGAAUUUUGGACAAUGGGCGCAAGCCUGAUCCAGCCAUGCCGCGUGUCUGAAGAAGGCCUUCGGGUUGUAAAGGACUUUUGUCAGGGAAGAAAAGGCUGUUGCUAAUAUCAAUAGCUGAUGACGGUACCUGAAGAAUAAGCACCGGCUAACUACGUG
Molecule: ribosomal RNA, 489 nt
Filed under: uncultured bacterium
Lineage: Bacteria
Description: partial 16S ribosomal RNA
Rfam family: Bacterial small subunit ribosomal RNA
Source: RNAcentral